CAGAGUUAAGCAAGGACAUUUGUUGCCGAUAAGAAAUUCCCCUGCCUUUGUGUCGCUCUCGCAAACGGAGUGUGUGUAUGUCCCCAGUGAUUUUUCACAUCAGUUGUCUCCCUUUAGUUUUCACAUCUGUGCUGCUAUGGUUACCGAGAGCCUGAAAGGCUUUAAAUCUCCCUCAGAGCAAUGGAGGAUUUCAGAGGUAAUCUUGUUAAGAGAUGAGCAAUGAAUAUUUCCAAAGGCCUUUUGCAUUAAUAUCUCAUUCCAUAUUAGCUUAUGUCCACUGACAGAACGGAAAGCAAAAUGCAGGGGACUGCGAGCAAGGAAAAGGAAGAAACCAGAAAAGGAUGAAUGCAGAACCAUGUUUUCCGCUGCAGCCUUUUGUGUUCAGAACAACGUGUCUGAAUCCCAUAUUUUUCAAGGAGGGCCUGGUAGGCAAACUUGGGUCAGGUAUUACGAAAAAAAGAAAAACAGCCUGUGCUCUCCAGCCUUGCCCGUGUGAUUUGGGCUGCUCUGCGCUGUGCCACCACCCACCCUUGCCUGGGGGUCAGUGCAGGCAGCAGGGUUGUCUACCUGGCCUAGACGCACCGUUGCAAAGUGGUGUCACACCUUUGACUUCCGUGCAGACAUAUUCCCGGAGGAGCUACCACAGCCAGCUUGCCCAUGGUACAGCUGCAAGGAGGACUGUGUGCACUCAACAAUCACUAAAAUCAGGAUUGUAGAGAAGAGGAGCUGUUUCUCCUCCCCCUGCAGCUCCCAGGACCUUUAUGGACAUUCAGGGACCGGGCUUUCAUCUUCGUCACUGCAGGACUCAUGUUCUUCGGGAAAGCCUCGCGAGCCCCGCGCUGUGUGCCGUGGCUUUGGACCAUGAGAAGACCGCCGGGCACUUCACCCAGGUGGGGGAGACGGCAUCUGCUUGUGGGGUGGACGCAUCACUGGAGUUUGUCCUUACGAAAUCUGGCUUCUCGACAUGCGGGAGGGAGGCUGUGUGAUGCUCUGAGCUACGUCCGAACUUUCAGCCCUUUGUUGGCUGGGGCAUCUAGGAACCAGUAACUCUGUCAGCUUAAAUUAGCUCUCAGCUGUGCAGAAGGAAGACUUAUGUUCAUAGCCUCAAACUGACCGAGUGGGAACCUAGAGGAGCACUUGAGCCUUUCCCACGAGCUGAGUGCUCCCAUACUCCCCUCCCAGGACACACAAUUCCUGUACAGCGCUGAAACUUGCUUUAUUACAAACAACUUGCAAAAUUCAGGAGGGAACGGUCUGUGCUGCACCCGGAUAUGCUUUGUGCAAGGCUGCAUGCAGAUGUUGGUGGUCACGGUUCAGAGGGGACAGUGAACGCAACGGAGCCAGGAAGCGACGUUCUCUGGGUGCGUGGCGGAGGCGCGGGCAGGGCACAGACAGCACCCACACCUCUCUGGCACCGAGAUGUAGUGGUCACUGUCACAGGCAGAGUCCGGGGUGUGAUGACCCGGUACCCUGGCAGUGCCAAGGCUGCUGAUUUGGGGCAGAUAAGCAGUUUGUAAGCUUAUACACUGGAAGAAGUGGUUCCCUAGCUCAAGGGAGCAGCACUGCUUGCCCAUUGCUAGAAAUAAGGUUCAUCAUAAACUGCUGCGACAGAUAGUUUGCAGCACCAUGAUUUCCGUGAGCUGAGACAGGGCUGCGACCGCAUUCCUCCACCUGCAGCCUGGGCCAGUUUCUGGGAGCUAAAGGAGCCGACGGUGGGACUGAGAGCAGCGGGCUUUCUGUCCUCGCCAGCCUCUUCCCGCCAGCAGGACUUCACUCCCAAGCAUGCAAGCUGCUGAUGGGUCUCCAGGCUGGGAGAGAGCCGGAGCUGGGCUCUCGGAUUGCCUCUGGGAAAGUGAAGCGGGCUGUGAAUUGCAACGCAAAGCGUGUCCUCCUCCUCCCUUGCAGCCCCCUUACUGCUACAUAAUGCCAGCUGCCAGGGGCUGGCUGACCCCAUAACCUGGCUGAAGAAGAGUCAGGCUGACCCGGAGCGAAGAAGAGCUUGCAGAUGCGUGCUGCUUUGCUGCUCUCCAUGCUCUUGGCUCCUCCAGCCUCAUCUUCCCUGAGCCCGGCCAGCAGGACAGCCAAGGAAUGAGCUGGUGCCAGCCUGGGGACCCCAUGGCUUCGCAUGUCCCAUGAUGGGACACAGAUGCAGAUUGUGCCAGGAGCUACGGAGCAACCAUAGAGCACUUGCAGGCCUGCCAGGACACCUCAUUUUUAAAACAUAUUUUUUUGUCGAAUGCCAAGCCAGCCCCAUGAAGCAGAAAUGACACAUCCUGGCAGCUGACAUCUCCUGGAAGAAUUUAGCAUGAAGACAAAAUAACCCUACGGUGAGUUAAUGUUCCCAAGCUGCCGUCCUGCAAAGCCCCCGACUCUGGUGAUGCCCAAAUAGAUAAAAACAAAGGAGCCCAUUUGUCCUAGAUCUGUGGCGCGAGCGUCAGCGGUGCGGGGCGACCUGGCCAGAUGUUUGGCACGUCUCCGGCCCUGCCGCCGCAUAAAGUCGAUCUGCU
Molecule: non-coding RNA, 2507 nt
Organism: Struthio camelus australis
Lineage: Eukaryota; Metazoa; Chordata; Aves; Struthioniformes; Struthionidae
Source: RefSeq, a predicted model, not a curated record